Molecule: transfer RNA, 28 nt
Filed under: Filipendula x purpurea
Lineage: Eukaryota; Viridiplantae; Streptophyta; Magnoliopsida; Rosales; Rosaceae
Also listed under: 1 other name
Description: partial tRNA-His
Source: RNAcentral
CGGAUGUACCCAAGUGGAUCAGGGCAGU